Molecule: ribosomal RNA, 374 nt
Filed under: uncultured organism
Description: partial 16S ribosomal RNA
Rfam family: Bacterial small subunit ribosomal RNA
Source: RNAcentral
GUAGGUGGCAAGCGUUGUCCGGAAUUAUUGGGCGUAAAGCGCGCGCAGGUGGUUCUUUAAGUCUGAUGUGAAAGCCCCCGGCUCAACCGGGGAGGGUCAUUGGAAACUGGGGAACUUGAGUGCAGGAGAGGAAAGUGGAACUCCACGUGUAGCGGUGAAAUGCGUAGAUAUGUGGAGGAACACCAGUGGCGAAGGCGACUUUCUGGCCUGUAACUGACACUGAGGCGCGAAAGCGUGGGGAGCAAACAGGGAUUAGAUACCCUGGUAGUCCACGCCGUAAACGAUGAGUGCUAAGUGUUGGGGGGGUUUCCCGCCCCUCAGUGCUGCAGCUAACGCAUUAAGCACUCCGCCUGGGGAGUACGGCCGCAAGACUG